RNAcentral lists this unclassified non-coding RNA (155 nucleotides) under Homo sapiens (human). Its description in RNAcentral is "long intergenic non-protein coding RNA 3003 (ENSG00000226799.1)". The record is from RNAcentral. Lineage: Eukaryota; Metazoa; Chordata; Mammalia; Primates; Hominidae.
AUGUUGGAAUUCCUGGAAAAUGUGGCGUUCUUAAUAGUCAUAAAAGUACUAAAUAUAUACUGCAAAAUGCUAGGUGUGUCUCUGAGAUUUAGGACAACUUCUGAAAGUACUGUCAUUAACGGAGAAGCUGGAAUAAAAAGAAAAGUCACUCCAGA